This 253-nucleotide ribosomal RNA is filed under the name uncultured bacterium. RNAcentral describes it as "partial 16S ribosomal RNA". It matches the Rfam family "Bacterial small subunit ribosomal RNA", at positions 524 to 776 of the family's 1533-position model. The record is from RNAcentral.
GACGAACCGCGCAAACGUUGUUCGGAAUCACUGGGCUUAAAGGGCGCGUAGGCGGGCUCGCCAGUCAGGGGUGAAAGCCCACGGCUCAACCGUGGAAGUGCCUUUGAUACUGCGAGUCUCGAGGGAGGUAGGGGCGUGCGGAACUUCCGGUGGAGCGGUGAAAUGCGUUGAUAUUCACAGGAACUCCGGUGGCGAAGGCGGCUCGCUGGACCUCUUCUGACGCUGAGGCGCGAAAGCCAGGGGAGCAAACGGG